CCUGUUCCUCGAAAAUAUUAAAUUGUUCAGAUCAGUUUCGUCUUGGAGGACCUGGUCAUGUAUAAAUUGAUGAAUUCUGUAUUGCUAAGAGGAAAUACAAACCGUGGUCGUAUCGUUUCUGGUUCAGAGAAAUGGGUCCUUGGAAUGUAUGAUUGCCAGUUACACAGAGGACUCGUUCUUUGUCUGCAAAAUCGUAUUGCUGAUGUAAUAAUUCCAAAUAUUGUACAACAUGUCAAGCCAGGAACUGAAAUUUGGACAGAUAUGUUUGCUUCUCAUUCUACAUUGGGGACAUUGGGAGGUGUUUCUCCAUACAGUGAUCUUACCAGGGCCGCCGAG
RNAcentral lists this long non-coding RNA (336 nucleotides) under Androctonus crassicauda. The record is from RNAcentral. Lineage: Eukaryota; Metazoa; Arthropoda; Arachnida; Scorpiones; Buthidae.